UCUACCUGAGAUCCAUAAGUAGUGUAACAUCCAGUAACACAGUUAUAACUAAAAUUUUAGAAUAGUUGAUUGAUCGUAUGGUAUCUUUUGAUCAUUCCGUACAAACACUAAUCUCCAACAUCUAUUUUUUUUUUCUUCUAAUACUACUCAAUGCGUUUCGCAUCCCAUACGAGGAUACAUCGAGGAAAAGCUAUCCCCUUACGUGACAACUGCGCUUACUACGGCAUUUCAUCCAGCCUCAACAGUUCCGCUUGUUUUUUAAAUAAGAGCUCUUUGGAACAUUGCUCAUAUCAAGGAUUUAUUUCAUAAUUCUAUAUAGUGCAUUUACACAACUCUAAGAACAUCUCCUGCAGGGUAUUUAUCUCCUCAAUGGACUCCACUGUGCAAAAGGUUGGCAAAGGGGUUUUAUCCGUGAGGUUCAAGCAGGUGUUUUGAUUCGCCAACAGUUGUUGCAUCAUCCCGGUCAGAACAUCGAGCUUGUUGUUCAUCACUUCGUUCUGGACCUUUAGCUGAGCUACCAUUCAGCGUAACAUCAUACAUUCUUUUGCCAAAUCAGU
Molecule: long non-coding RNA, 557 nt
Organism: Anopheles merus
Lineage: Eukaryota; Metazoa; Arthropoda; Insecta; Diptera; Culicidae
Exons: 3
Source: RefSeq, a predicted model, not a curated record